This 4651-nucleotide long non-coding RNA is filed under the name Solanum tuberosum (potato). Its description in RNAcentral is "long non-coding RNA (STUB_LNC000697)". The record is from RNAcentral. Lineage: Eukaryota; Viridiplantae; Streptophyta; Magnoliopsida; Solanales; Solanaceae.
CUUCGAAAAUGGGAGAUGCCACGUUAGCUGUUGAGAAAGACUCAUCUGGAGUCAUCACUGGUUCUGAAAAAUUAGAUCCUUCAAAUCCUCUCUUCCUCAACUCAGCAGAUUCACCUGGCAUGAAUCUCAUUAAUAUGAGUUUUGAUGGAACCAACUAUGGAAACUGGAGAAGAGGAGUUCUCAUCUCACUUUCAGCUAAAAACAAACUUGUUUUUAUCAACGGAAAGUAUCCUAAACCUACUGCUAACGCACCUUUAUUCACUCAAUGGGUAAGAUGCAAUGAUAUGGUCAUAGCUUGGCUACUAAACUCCUUGAGUAAGGAUAUUGCAGAGAGCGUGAUUUACUCACAAACUGCAGAAGAGCUAUGGAAGGAACUAGAGCAGAGGUAUGGUCAAUCUGAUGGAACCAAGAUGUUCCAGUUGCAAAGGGAUCUCAGUAGCAUUUCCCAGGGAACUUCUGAUAUUGCUAGCUAUUUCACAAGGUUGAAAAGAAUUUGGGACCAAAUGAAAGAGCUGAACACUUUUAUGAACUGUAGUUGUGAUUGCAGUUGUGGUGCUAAGGAGCACAACUUCAAAAUGAAUGAAGAUCAGCAGCUCAUUCAGUUUCUAAUGGGUUUGAACGAGGUCUAUUCAAGUAUCCGAGGCAACAUAUUAAUGAUGAAACCUUUGCCAACCACUGCAUAGGCUUAUUCACUCAUCCUUCAUGAGGAGAGGCAAAGAGAGGUACACUCUGUGCUUAAGGUAACUCCUGACUCUGCUGCUUUUAAUAUUGCAGCAACAAGAACCUUUGCACAAAAGACAGGUAAUGAGUCUAGAAGAGACUAUGUGAACAAUGGCAAUUUCUGUAGCUACUGUAAGAAACCGGGGCAUGAGAAGGAUAAAUGUUUUAGAUUACAUGGAUUUCCUGCAAAUUUUAAGUUCACUAAGCCUAGGAGAAUCUCUAGAUAUAGACCAGCGAAUUGUGUAGCAACAGAGGACGGAAAUGCUUCAGGAUCUUCCUUUGGUUCAGGUUCUUCUUCUCAGGGAUUCACCAAGGAACAAUGUGGCCAACUAUUUCAAAUGUUACAAACAAUGUAGGCUGGAAACUCAAUUGCUCCAGGUUUUGAAGUCAAUGCAACUGCUAAUUUUGCUGGUAUAAAUGCUGCUAUGCAUGUCUUUACCUCAUGUUUUAACUCAUCUACCUCUAACCCUUGGAUUAUUGACUCUGGUGCCUCCCAAUAUAUGACUUUUGAAAAAAAACCUUCUACAUAAUGUCAAGAAAUUAUCCUAUCCUGUUUUUGUUAAUCUGCCAAACUCUUAUAGAAUGAGAGUUUUCUAUUUUGGUAGUCUUAAUCUAUCUUCUGAUAUUGAAUUACACAAUGUCCUUUAUGUUCCUUCUUUUAAACAUAACCUAAUGUCAGUAAGUCAGCUUUGUAGACAAUUGGAUUGUGAUGUCAUUUUUAACAAAUCUGGUUGUCUGCUAUAGGGCCUUUCAAUGAAGAGUCACCUGAUUUUUGGUGAAGUAUCUGCAGGCCUUUAUGUGCAUCUAUUGGAGGAUAACAUAACUCAACCAAAGAUUUUCAAGUCUAAUGUUCCUGUUUCUACUAUAUUUUCGUCUUCCGCUCCUAGAAAUCAUAUGAGUCCUAUCAAUGUUAUCAAGUUAAAUUCUGUUAAGUCUUUUUGUCCAAGUUUUGAGUCUGUAGCUGGCAAUACUUCUUGCCCUGAAGUUUCUACUAUCAAUAAAAAAUGUUUUGUUUCUAAGAAUUUUACUUCAAGUAAGCUAUGGCACUAUCGAUUAGGGCAUUUACCUUAUCCAGCAAUGAGAAAUAUCACUGGUUUAUCAUAAUUUUUAACAGACCACAAUCAUUUUCCUUGUGACAUUUGUCCGAUGGCAAGACAAACAAAGUUACCUUUUCCUGUUAGCCACAUUUCCUCAAAGCACUGUUUUGAACUACUACAUAUUGACAUAUGGGGACCAUAUACGACACCUACGUAUAAAGGGGAAAAAUAUUUUCUUUCCAUUGUGGAUGAUUUUUCUAGAGGGACUUGGACAUAUCUUUUAUCCACAAAAUCUAAUGCAUUCUCUGUUCUGAAAUUUUUCCUAGCCUUUGUGGAGAGACAAUUCUCCACUAAAGUCAAAAUCAUUUGGUCUGAUAAUGCUUAUGAGUUGGGUACAGGCACUAUGCAAUCUGAAUAUUUUUUAUCAAAAGGGAUUAUUCACCAAACUUCUUGUGUAGCUACGCCACAACAAAAUGGGGUGGUGGAACGCAAACAUAAACAUCUUUUGGAAACAUGUCGAGCCUUAUUCUACCAAUCUCACCUUCCUAAGAAAUUUUGGGGGGAAUGUCUUCUAACUGCUACUUAUCUAAUUAAUCGUUUCCCUUCUAAAGUUUUACAUGGUCAGUCAUCUUAUCAGGUUUUAUAUGACAAAUCUCCAGCCUAUUCUCAUUUUAAGCCCUUUGGUUGCCUUUGUUUUGUGUCCACUCUAGCGAGAUCUAGGGAUAAAUUGUCUCCUCGAGCUCUUCCAGGGGUUUUCUUAGGCUAUCCUUUUGGGAAAAAAGGGUACAAAAUUCUGCAUUUGCAGACCAACAAAGUCUUUGUCUCUCGAAAUGUGAAAUUUUGUGAAACAAUCUUUCCUUUUGCUUAUGCUAUUCCUAUGUCAAGACUCUUUCCAGCAUCUAUUCCUCCUUCUGAAAAUGUCGAGUCCAGUCCUAUUUACUCACAGACUACUGAGUUUUCCAGUUCACCUUCAUCUCCUCCUAGUUCAUCUCCUACAAAUGAUUCUAUUCAUCCUUCAUCUCCUUUCCAGCCUAGUCAGUCAUCUCCUUCUUCAUCCCUUUCUUCUCCAUCUUCUUCUACUUCCUUUCCCAUCCAAGAAACUACAUCACCAAGGGUUAUGUUAUCUCCAACAGCUGAACUGAGAAGGUCUUCACGCAUACACACUACACCAUCUUAUCUUUCUGAUUAUGUUUGUAACACUGCAUUUUCAGUGAUUUCUCCUAAUCCGCCUUUAUUUCCAUUUCAUUCAUUUUCUUUCUCCUCCCUUUCUUCACACAACCAGCACAUAGUUAGCUCUAUUUGUCAAAUUACAGAACCAACAUCUUACCGGCAAGUAGCACUUCACCCUGGUUGGAAAAUUGCAAUGUCUAAAGAACUUGAGGCACUUGAGAGUAAUCGCACUUGGGAUGUCGUCCAUCUUCCUGUUGGUAAAUUGGCAUUGCCGUGCAAAUGGGUUUAUAAAGUCAAGCUGAAAUCAGAUGGAUCAUUAGAACGCUUGAAGGCACGUUUGGUUAUACGAGGGGAUAAACAACGGGAAGGCAUUGACUAUACCGAAACGUUCUCACUUGUUGUCAAAAUGACAACUAUCAGAUGCCUUCUUAGCAUUGCUGUAAAAAAGAACUGGUCUUUAUAUCAACUGGACGUUAACAACGCUUUUCUUCACGGUGAUCUGAGUGAAGAAGUCUUUAUGAAAUUUCCUCCUGGUCUUGAUCCUCCUUCAUCCUCUCAUGUUUGUCGCCUUCGCAAAUCUCUUUAUGGACUCAAGCAUGCUUCCCAUUAAUGGUAUGCUCGUCUUUCUUCUGCUUUGGGUACACGAGGCUUUAUUUGCUCUCUCAAUGAUUAUUCCCUCUUUGUUAAAACUUCUGGCGACUUGAUUACCAUCCUAGUUGUAUAUGUUGACGACAUCCUGUUGACAGGAAAUAACAUGGAAGAUAUUACUGAUCUGAAAUUGUUUCUUGAUUCUGAAUUUCGAAUCAAAAACUUGGGCAUUGCUAAUUAUUUUUUGGGUAUGGAGAUUUUAACAGAACCUGGAGGAUUACUUUUGACGCAACGCAAGUUUGCACUUGAUUUACUAUCUGAGUAUCCUGAUCUCGAGCCUCGCCGUGUCUCAACCCCUUUGGAUCCCUCAAUUAAAUUGUCUUUGAUUUCUGGAGAGUCUUUGCCGAAUCCAACAGUUUAUCGACGUCUUCUAGGGAAACUCAAUUUUUUAACACAUACAAGACCCGAUUUGGCUUAUGUUGUUCAACAUCUUAGUCAAUAUAUGCAAUCACCCUGCUCUGGCCAUUUUGAGGCAGCCUUGCAUACACUCCGCUAUAUUCGAAAUGAUCCUGGUCUUGGGCUUUUCCUUUCAUCUGAUUCGUCUUUUCAUCUCAUCGCCUAUUGUGACGCCGAUUGGGCGGCUUGUUCAGAUAGCCGAAGAUCUGUUAGUGAUUUUUUUCUUACACUUGGUGGUUGCCCGAUCUCAUGGAAAUCAAAGAAACAACCUGUUAUUUCUUUAUCAUCGGCGGAGGCAGAAUACCGUUCCAUGCGACGACUUGUCGCAGAAAUUUCUUGGCUUGUCAGGCUUCUCUCCGAUUUUUCUAUCUUUCCAUCUCUUCCAAUUUCUCUUCACUGUGAUAGUCAGGCAGCCAUCCACAUAGCUAAAAAUCCUGUCUUUCAUGAACGAACGAAACACAUUGAGAUUGAUUGUCAUUUUGUUCGUGAAAAACUUCUUGAUGGUCUCAUUUCUCUGUCUUUUGUUCCAUCCUCCUCCCAAAUUGCUGAUGUCUUCACAAAGGCUUUAGCAGGACCUCUUCAUCGUCAUUUUUUGUCCAAGUUGGGCGUCUGGUCACCGGUCUCCCACUUGCGGAAGGGUGUCGCCGGAGCAAUAUUAUUAUUAGAGGAAGAAAUGAAGA